Molecule: non-coding RNA, 141 nt
Organism: Oryza brachyantha (malo sina)
Lineage: Eukaryota; Viridiplantae; Streptophyta; Magnoliopsida; Poales; Poaceae
Source: Rfam
UUUGACUCUUCGUCUUAUUUGAAAUUUUUUUAUGAUUAAUAUUUUUAUUGUUACUAGAUGACAAAAUAUGAAUAGUACUUUAUAUGUGAUUAAUUUUUUUAAGUUUUUGUAUAAAUUUUUUAAAUAAGACGAACAAUCAAA